Molecule: ribosomal RNA, 440 nt
Filed under: uncultured bacterium
Lineage: Bacteria
Description: partial 16S ribosomal RNA
Rfam family: Bacterial small subunit ribosomal RNA
Source: RNAcentral
CCUACGGGAGGCAGCAGUGGGGCAUGUUGCACAAUGGGGGAAACCCUGAUGCAGCGACGCCGCGUGAGUGAAGAAGUAUCUCGGUAUGUACAGCUCUAUCAGCAGGUAAGAAAAUGACGUUACCUUACUAAGACGCCCCGGCUAACUACGUGCCCGCAGCCUCGGUAAUACGUAGGGGGCAAGCGUUAUCCGAAUUUACUGGGUGUAAAGGCAGCGUAGACGGCGGUGCAAGUCCGGAGUGAAAGCCCAUGGCUUAACCAUGGUACUGCUCUGGAAACUGUGGAGCUUGAGUGCGGGAGGGGCAGGCGGAAUUCCUAGUGUAGCGGUGAAAUGCGUAGAUAUUAGGAGGAACACCGGCGGCGAAGGCGGCCUGCUGGACCGUAACUGACGUUGAGGCUCGAAAGCGUGGGGAGCAAACAGGAUUAGAUACCCGGGUAGUC